Molecule: transfer-messenger RNA, 348 nt
Filed under: Cellulosilyticaceae
Lineage: Bacteria; Bacillati; Bacillota; Clostridia; Lachnospirales
Description: Epulopiscium_B sp001983555 Standard tmRNA
Rfam family: transfer-messenger RNA
About the family: Bacterial tmRNA, also known as 10Sa RNA or SsrA, is named for its dual tRNA and mRNA-like properties. Its role is to liberate the mRNA from a stalled ribosome.
Source: RNAcentral
GGGGGUGUACUGGUUUCGACGGGGGUCACAUCUGUUGGGGCAGCCAUUCGUAGGAAGUCUACACUACGUUAAAAGAGGACACUUUAAAUUAAACGCAGAAGACAAUUUUGCACUAGCUGCUUAAUGCAGCUCGUUUCCCUAGGUUAAUCCGCAGACUUAGACGAAACGCCAACUAGCGGAGAACGACUUGUGCUAAGCUUUGCUCACAAGCUGUAUUUAUGAAGCUACUAAAACCAAUAACCUGUCAUUAGGUGAUUGGCAGAGGGAAUGUUAAUAUAAUGAAUAUAAUGGUAGAGACCACACCUUAUGGGCUUUCGGACAGGGGUUCGAUUCCCCUCACCUCCAUAA